RNAcentral lists this transfer RNA (58 nucleotides) under Campylobacter jejuni. RNAcentral's name for it is "tRNA-Ser". It matches the Rfam family "tRNA", at positions 19 to 71 of the family's 71-position model. From Rfam's summary of the family: Transfer RNA (tRNA) molecules are approximately 80 nucleotides in length. The record is from RNAcentral. RNAcentral also lists the same sequence under 1 other name. Lineage: Bacteria; Pseudomonadati; Campylobacterota; Epsilonproteobacteria; Campylobacterales; Campylobacteraceae.
UUAGAAUGCCGCCCUGUCACGGCGGAGGUCGCGGGUUCGAGCCCCGUCCGCUGCGCCA